Molecule: ribosomal RNA, 236 nt
Filed under: uncultured bacterium
Lineage: Bacteria
Description: partial 16S ribosomal RNA
Rfam family: Bacterial small subunit ribosomal RNA
Source: RNAcentral
UGAGUAACCUGCCCUUCACUCUGGGAUAACUCCGGGGAAACCGGGGCUAAUACUGGAUAUGACUCGAACAGGCAUCUGUUUCGGGUGGAAAGAUUUAUUGGUGGAGGAUGGACUCGCGGCCUAUCAGCUUGUUGGUGAGGCAAUGGCUCACCAAGGCGACGACGGGUAGCCGGCCUGAGAGGGCGAUCGGCCACACUGGGACUGAGAUACGGUCCAGACUCCGUACGGGAGNAGCG